RNAcentral lists this ribosomal RNA (301 nucleotides) under uncultured bacterium. RNAcentral's name for it is "partial 16S ribosomal RNA". It matches the Rfam family "Bacterial small subunit ribosomal RNA", at positions 509 to 807 of the family's 1533-position model. The record is from RNAcentral.
CAGUAGCCGCGGUAAUACGAAGGGGGCUAGCGUUGUUCGGAAUUACUGGGCGUAAAGCGCACGUAGGCGGAUAUUUAAGUCAGGGGUGAAAUCCCGCAGCUCAACUGCGGAACUGCCUUUGAUACUGGGUAUCUUGAGUAUGGAAGAGGUUAGUGGAAUUGCGAGUGUAGAGGUGAAAUUCGUAGAUAUUCGCAGGAACACCAGUGGCGAAGGCGGCUGACUGGUCCAUAACUGACGCUGAGGUGCGAAAGCGUGGGGAGCAAACAGGAUUAGAUACCCCCGUAGUCCCUGUCUCUUAUAC